ACGUACGCUGGCGGCACGCCUAACACAUGCAAGUCGAACGCAGUAGCAAUACUGAGUGGCAAACGGGUGAGUAUAAUGUGGGAAUCUGCCUUUUGGUUUGGAAUAACACGAGGAAACUUGUGCUAAUACCGGAUAAGUCUUUACGGAGAAAGCUUUAUGCACCAUUGGAUGAGCCUGCACUUGAUUAGUUUGUUGGUAGGGUAAUGGCCUACCAAGACUGUGAUCAAUAGCUGAUUUGAGAGGAUGAUCAGCCACAUUGGGACUGAGACACGGCCCAAACUCCUACGGGAGGCAGCAGUGGGGAAUCUUGC
This 311-nucleotide ribosomal RNA is filed under the name uncultured Pelagibacterales bacterium. Its description in RNAcentral is "SSU rRNA". It matches the Rfam family "Bacterial small subunit ribosomal RNA", at positions 29 to 367 of the family's 1533-position model. Lineage: Bacteria; Pseudomonadati; Pseudomonadota; Alphaproteobacteria; Candidatus Pelagibacterales. The record is from RNAcentral.